UGUAGGGGCAACCCACCCCUACAUCUGGUGCCCAACGUGGAGGCUUUUCUCUAGGGUGAAGGUACGCUCGAGCGUGGUCAUUGAGGACAAGUCGACAAGAGAUCCCGAGGACGUCUACAGUCAGCCUUACGUCUGCAGGUGUACCCAACAGCUCCGAAGAGACAGCGACCAUCGAGAACGGGCCAUGAUGACGAUGGCGGUUUUGUUGAAAAGAAAAGGGGGAAAUGUGGGGAAAAGCAAGAGAGAUCAGAUUGUUACUGUGUCUGUGUAGAAAGAAGUAGACAUAGGCGACUCCAUUUUGUUAUGUACUAAGAAAAAUUCUUCUGCCUUGAGAUUCUGUUAAUCUAUAACCUUACCCCCAACCCCAUGCUCUCUGAAACAUGUGCUGUGUCAACUCAGAGUUAAAUGGAUUAAGGGCGGUGCAAGAUGUGCUUUGUUAAACAGAUGCUUGAAGGCAGCAUGCUCCUUAAGAGUCAUCACCACUCCCUAAUCUCAAGUACCCAGGGACACAAAAACUGCGGAAGGCCGCAGGGACCUCUGCCUAGGAAAGCCAGGUAUUGUCCAAGGUUUCUCCCCAUGUGAUAGUCUGAAAUAUGGCCUCGUGGGAAGGGAAAGACCUGACCGUCCCCCAGCCUGACACCUGUAAAGGGUCUGUGCUGAGGAGGAUUAGUAAAAGAGGAAGGAAUGCCUCUUGCAGUUGAGACAAGAGGAAGGCAUCUGUCUCCUGCCUGUCCCUGGGCAAUGGAAUGUCUCGGUAUAAAACCCGAUUGUAUGCUCCAUCUACUGAGAUAGGGAAAAACUGCCUUAGGGCUGGAGGUGGGACCUGCGGGCAGCAAUACUGCUUUGUAAAGCAUUGAGAUGUUUAUGUGUAUGCAUAUCUAAAAGCACAGCACUUAAUCCUUUAUAUUGUCUAUGAUGCAAAGACCUUUGUUCACGUGUUUGUCUGCUGACCCUCUCCCCACAAUUGUCUUGUGACCCUGACACAUCCGCCUCUUCGAGAAACACCCACAGAUGAUCAAUAAAUACUAAGGGAACUC
This 1037-nucleotide long non-coding RNA is filed under the name Homo sapiens (human). Its description in RNAcentral is "novel transcript". Lineage: Eukaryota; Metazoa; Chordata; Mammalia; Primates; Hominidae. The record is from RNAcentral.